UUGGUCAUCCCAGUUUCCAAACUUUUUCGGCUGAAAAUCAAUGAAACCAAGUUUCUCUUCUUCUCCUGGUAAUCCAGUACUGCAAAACAAACAGAACCAGCAAAUCUUUCUCUUUGGACAGGUACGUCAUGUGAAAAGAAUUUAACUUUGCACUUUGCACGAAUUCCAUAAACGCGUAGUUCUUUGAUCAUUCCGUAGUUAACCAAUCUAAGAAACAAAUUUUGUAGCAUUUACAAGACACGACAACUACGUUCAUAGUAGAACAUAGAUGAGACUGUCUUGACAGACAGAGAAAAGAAAUGAAAGAAAUUUACUUACGAAAGCAG
This 326-nucleotide long non-coding RNA is filed under the name Vigna radiata. RNAcentral's name for it is "long non-coding RNA (VRAD_LNC004144)". The record is from RNAcentral. Lineage: Eukaryota; Viridiplantae; Streptophyta; Magnoliopsida; Fabales; Fabaceae.